AGCAUUUUUAAUAUGUAUAGUACUUUUUUAUUUUGCUUUCUAUCUCUUCAGUAUUCAGUUUUGAUGUGGUUAUGGGUAAUAAUUGGGUUUGCAGUGGAGUGACUUCACAAAGGUGUGUUGUAUAUUAUUUUGCUUGUUUCUUUAAAAAUUCAAAAUUUGAAUGUUCACAACAUGAGGACCCAGUGUACUGGUGAAGGAAGGGGAAACUCAGUGACACGCAGGCCAUUGUGCCACGUGAUUCAAAGCCAAGGAGCAAUCAGCCAAAGGUAGCUACAUGGAAGAAGAAGACUUGGACAUGCCUGCUGUGUUGGGUGAGUGCUACAGAAGUCCACAAGUGGUCCGUAUUUCAGCUUACACUAUCUGUUUCUGCCUGUCACGCAACUUCCUGGCCAUUGAUAGCACUGCACCACACUUUUGGUCCAGGCCACAACCCUACAAAGGAAAAAGUGUUCAUGAUGAUUUUCAUAUAACAGCUAUUCCAUGACCGUGGUACUUUUCUAUCUGCAGUGCUGUCCUGCAGGUGGGAAAAAAAAGAAAACCAUUGUCAUCACUCCACAUCAUUCUUUCCAUGGACUUCAGUCAACACGGAAGAGAGGAAGCCAUGCUUUAACAGUGGAAAUCAUGCUGAGAUGGCAUCUUCUCUAGCAGUGCUGACCAGGGAGAUUGCAAAGACUGAGUCAACAGAAGAGAGCAGGAGUAGGAGAGUCUGAAACUGCAAACUGCAGCAAGCUGGAGCCUAACCCGGCAACACAGGGCGCAAGGCUGGAGGGGGAGGGGACACACCCAGGAUGGGAUGCCAGUCAGUCGCAAGACACCCCAAGCAGGACUCGAGCCCCAGAUCCACCACAGAGCAGGCCCCAGCCAUACCUGCUGCACUGCUGUGUCACCACACCCCCUCUUAUGGUUUAAAAAAAUCAAGGAUUGCUCAACACGGACCGCAAGAAUGAAAAGAGCACAAGUCCUUCCACUACUGCAUCCGGCCUGUUUGCUCUCCAAACCUGGCAUGUCUAGUGUGCCACAGAAACCAUUAUUAGAGUAAUCCUGCUAAAAAUUAUAACACAACCUUUGAAAAAAGCAAAUAAAAUGUUUUUUAAACUUUAAAUUAACUCA
RNAcentral lists this long non-coding RNA (1110 nucleotides) under Scleropages formosus (Asian bonytongue). RNAcentral describes it as "lncRNA (ENSSFOG00015027891.1)". Lineage: Eukaryota; Metazoa; Chordata; Actinopteri; Osteoglossiformes; Osteoglossidae. The record is from RNAcentral.